This 497-nucleotide ribosomal RNA is filed under the name uncultured bacterium. RNAcentral's name for it is "partial 16S ribosomal RNA". It matches the Rfam family "Bacterial small subunit ribosomal RNA", at positions 28 to 507 of the family's 1533-position model. The record is from RNAcentral.
GAUGAACGCUGGCGGCGUGCCUAAUACAUGCAAGUCGAGCGAACAGAUAAGGAGCUUGCUCCUUUGACGUUAGCGGCGGACGGGUGAGUAACACGUGGGUAACCUACCUAUAAGACUGGGAUAACUUCGGGAAACCGGAGCUAAUACCGGAUAAUAUUUCGAACCGCAUGGUUCGAUAGUGAAAGAUGGUUUUGCUAUCACUUAUAGAUGGACCCGCGCCGUAUUAGCUAGUUGGUAAGGUAACGGCUUACCAAGGCGACGAUACGUAGCCGACCUGAGAGGGUGAUCGGCCACACUGGAACUGAGACACGGUCCAGACUCCUACGGGAGGCAGCAGUAGGGAAUCUUCCGCAAUGGGCGAAAGCCUGACGGAGCAACGCCGCGUGAGUGAUGAAGGUCUUCGGAUCGUAAAACUCUGUUAUUAGGGAAGAACAUACGUGUAAGUAACUGUGCACGUCUCGACGGUACCUAAUCAGAAAGCCACGGCUAACUACGUG